GAUGAACGCUGGCGGCGUGCCUAAUACAUGCAAGUCGAGCGAACAGACGAGGAGCUUGCUCCUCUGACGUUAGCCGCGGACGGGUGAGUAACACGUGGAUAACCUACCUAUCAGACUGGGAUAACUUCGGGAAACCGGAGAUAAUACCGGAUAAUAUAUUGAACCGCAUGGUUCAAUAGUGAAAGACGGUUUUGCUGUCACUUCUAGAUGGAUCCCGGCCGGAUUAGGUAGUUGGUAAGGUAACGGCUUACCAAGGCGACGAUGCGUAGCCGACCGGAGGGGGUGAUCGGCGACACGGGAGCGGAGCCACGGUCCAGACUACUGCGGUAGGCAGCAGUAGGGAACGUGCCGCAAUAGGCGAAAGCCUGACGGAGCAACGCCGCGUGAGUGAUGAAGGUCUUCGGAUCGUAAUACUCUGUUAUUAGGGAAGAACCAAUGUGUAAGGAACUAUGCACGGCUUGACGGUACCUAAUCAGAAAGCCACGGCUAACUACGUG
Molecule: ribosomal RNA, 497 nt
Filed under: uncultured bacterium
Lineage: Bacteria
Description: partial 16S ribosomal RNA
Rfam family: Bacterial small subunit ribosomal RNA
Source: RNAcentral